CGGAUGGCGUCAGAAAUUUAAAAACUAUAGUCCUUAACUUUCAACAGAGCCAUCAGGAGUCUCAUGCCAGGGAGCCUGAACGUAUACUUCCUGGGACUGACAUCAGGACAAUGCGAAGGAGCCUCAAAAGAUGAACAGAGGCGGGAUGCUGGAGUCAAGUCUGCAAGAGACCCACUCAGAGGAGCCUGUAAACGUUGACUUUGUGUGGAAUUGGCUUGUCCUAACAUCAUCCAUCACUGUAGACCCUAAUUCAUUGGAUUGAAUGGCUUUUUUUUUUUUUUGCAAAGAAAUACUUGCAGUAAUAUUUGCUUUGCAUCUUGGGAAUCAUAUG
RNAcentral lists this long non-coding RNA (331 nucleotides) under Heterocephalus glaber (naked mole-rat). RNAcentral's name for it is "lncRNA (ENSHGLG00000031933.1)". The record is from RNAcentral. Lineage: Eukaryota; Metazoa; Chordata; Mammalia; Rodentia; Bathyergidae.